GAAAUGCGAUACUUAAUGUGAAACGCAACGCAGUGUGAAUCAUCAAGGUUUCGAACGCACAUUGCGCUGUUCGGGUCUUCCCGGACAGCAUGCCUGUUUGAGCAUCGUUUCUAACCCUCACCAUCACACUUACCCUGUGAUGCUGGACGCUGAGUGCCUCACUUUCGCUCUUUUGCGAGAGUGGGCCACUUGAAAUGGAGACCCCUUUCUGGAUGCGAGCUCCGAAUGGUGCUUUGCUUCUUGUGCUGUGACGGGUUUUUCGAAACCCCCUGCGACACUCGAUGGCACGAGUCUAUUCCUCGCAUCAUAACCUACACGAAGGAGAGGACCGAGAAACCCUACUCAACACAGCGUCGUCACGCGUAAAGCGCGGCGCGCGCUGCGAUAUAAUCGCGAUCUC
RNAcentral lists this unclassified non-coding RNA (400 nucleotides) under uncultured fungus. RNAcentral describes it as "sequence contains ITS1". The stretch from base 1 to 107 matches the Rfam family "5.8S ribosomal RNA", at positions 50 to 154 of the family's 154-position model. Lineage: Eukaryota; Fungi. The record is from RNAcentral.